Molecule: long non-coding RNA, 494 nt
Organism: Aptenodytes forsteri (emperor penguin)
Lineage: Eukaryota; Metazoa; Chordata; Aves; Sphenisciformes; Spheniscidae
Exons: 3
Source: RefSeq, a predicted model, not a curated record
AAAGGGAUUUGGAGCCUUCAGAGGUGGAAGGAUGGUGCAGUCCAAGGGCAGAGGACAGAUGUCCCUGGAAGGGAAGGAAGUGCUGAGAAGGGCACAGCUGCAGUGGUGAGCUCAGCGGGCCACCUCUCAGGCCCAGGACCUUUUAGAGGAGCAGUUACAUGAAAGAGGAACAUUUUCUGAUCAGCCCUCCUGCUGAAGACCACUGCACAUCUGAGCUUUUCCCUUCCAGUAGGUAAUACGAAGACGUAUCUUAGGAGCUUUGGCUUCAUCUCCCUCAGGCUUGGUAUUGCUCCAGUAGAGGCAAAGACUUUGUGGCUCAGCAACCACAGUGUUUAAUCUGCUUUUUUGUGCUUUUCUGUGCUGCGUGGAGACAUAAUCACAGUGGUCAGUCCUUGCUUUCAACUUCCUCCUUGCUGCCUCGUCAUGUUUACAUGGUGUGUAGUGUUUUGCAAGCUUCAGAUAAACAGAAAUAAAAAUCAGUGUAGGUUUGCUUU